GAUGAACGCUAGCGGCAGGCCUAAUACAUGCAAGACGAACGGCAAGAAUUAUAGCAAUAUGAUUCCUAGAGUGUCGUAAGGGUGCGUAACACGUAUGCAAUCUGCCCUGUACAGGAGUAUAGCUCCCCGAAAGGGGAAUUAACGCUCCAUAGGAUAUUUUGGAGGCAUCUUCGAGAUAUUAAAACUGAGGUGGUACAGGAUGAGCAUGCGCAUGAUUAGUUAGUUGGCGGGGUAAAGGCCCACCAAGACGAUGAUCAUUAGGGGAACUGA
This 270-nucleotide ribosomal RNA is filed under the name uncultured bacterium. RNAcentral describes it as "partial 16S ribosomal RNA". It matches the Rfam family "Bacterial small subunit ribosomal RNA", at positions 28 to 295 of the family's 1533-position model. The record is from RNAcentral.